This 549-nucleotide ribosomal RNA is filed under the name uncultured bacterium. RNAcentral's name for it is "bacterial SSU rRNA". It matches the Rfam family "Bacterial small subunit ribosomal RNA", at positions 355 to 896 of the family's 1533-position model. The record is from RNAcentral.
UGGGGAAUAUUGCACAAUGGGGGAAACCCUGAUGCAGCCAUGCCGCGUGUGUGAAGAAGGCCUUCGGGUUGUAAAGCACUUUCAGUUGUGAGGAAAGUUUAGUAGUUAAUACCUGCUAGAUGUGACGUUAGCAACAGAAGAAGCACCGGCUAACUCCGUGCCAGCAGCCGCGGUAAUACGGAGGGUGCGAGCGUUAAUCGGAAUUACUGGGCGUAAAGCGCACGCAGGCGGUCUGUUAAGCUAGAUGUGAAGGCCCCGCGCUCAACGUGGGAGGGUCAUUUAGAACUGGCAGACUAGAGUCUUGGAGAGGGGAGUGGAAUUCCAGGUGUAGCGGUGAAAUGCGUAGAGAUCUGGAGGAACAUCAAUGGCGAAGGCAACUCCCUGGCCAAAGACUGACGCUCAUGUGCGAAAGUGUGGGUAGCGAACAGGAUUAGAUACCCUGGUAGUCCACACCGUAAACGCUGUCUACUAGCUGUUUGUGAAUUUAAUUCGUGAGUAGCGAAGCUAACGCGAUAAGUAGACCGCCUGGGGAGUACGGCCGCAAGGUUA